This is a long non-coding RNA of Tachyglossus aculeatus (Australian echidna), 451 nucleotides long. RefSeq lists it as uncharacterized. The transcript is spliced from 3 exons. Lineage: Eukaryota; Metazoa; Chordata; Mammalia; Monotremata; Tachyglossidae. The record is from RefSeq and is a predicted model, not a curated record.
GGACCAUUCAUAAUACCUAGCCACCCGAUCUGGGUUUAUUUAGGUGUCCUAUCAGUGAGAGUAUACAGAGCUCUGCCAUCAUCAAUCCUUUACUGACACCUAAAUAAUUCCUCUGGCCCAAAUAGAAGGAAUGUCUUGUUGAAUUUAAACCACCCUGAAAGCAUGGAGAGAUAAGACUAACCCUCUCAACGAUUUGGAAGUAUCAGGAAAGUCCUGGUUUCUGAAUUAGUAAAUUAGUAAAUUUCUUCAUGGAUUACCUAUCUAGGAAACAGCUUUGACAGAUAUGAAGGAGCUUUCUGAGGACAAGAGACUUUCUGGACUAAAGGAGAACACCAGCCAUCUGCCCAUCUUGACCCAGAGGGGAGAAGAAACUUCUCCGUUCCCAUUCAGUCCAAUGUUGCCCAUCUGGACUGCAGCUACAGGGAGCUGGGAGAGAAGGCCUCUUAUCUAG